This 1483-nucleotide ribosomal RNA is filed under the name metagenome. Its description in RNAcentral is "bacterial SSU rRNA". It matches the Rfam family "Bacterial small subunit ribosomal RNA". The record is from RNAcentral.
AGAGUUUGAUCCUGGCUCAGGAUGAACGCUGGUGGCGUGCUUAACACAUGCAAGUCGAACGAAGCACUUUAUUUGAUUUCCUUCGGGACUGAUUAUUUUGUGACUGAGUGGCGGACGGGUGAGUAACGCGUGGGUAACCUGCCUUGUACAGGGGGAUAACAGUUGGAAACGGCUGCUAAUACCGCAUAAGCGCACAGCAUCGCAUGAUGCAGUGUGAAAAACUCCGGUGGUAUAAGAUGGACCCGCGUUGGAUUAGCUAGUUGGUGAGGUAACGGCCCACCAAGGCGACGAUCCAUAGCCGACCUGAGAGGGUGACCGGCCACAUUGGGACUGAGACACGGCCCAAACUCCUACGGGAGGCAGCAGUGGGGAAUAUUGCACAAUGGGCGAAAGCCUGAUGCAGCGACGCCGCGUGAGCGAAGUAGUAUUUCGGUAUGUAAAGCUCUAUCAGCAGGGAAGAUAAUGACGGUACCUGACUAAGAAGCACCGGCUAAAUACGUGCCAGCAGCCGCGGUAAUACGUAUGGUGCAAGCGUUAUCCGGAUUUACUGGGUGUAAAGGGAGCGCAGGCGGUGCGGCAAGUCUGAUGUGAAAGCCCGGGGCUCAACCCCGGUACUGCAUUGGAAACUGUCGUACUAGAGUGUCGGAGGGGUAAGCGGAAUUCCUAGUGUAGCGGUGAAAUGCGUAGAUAUUAGGAGGAACACCAGUGGCGAAGGCGGCUUACUGGACGAUAACUGACGCUGAGGCUCGAAAGCGUGGGGAGCAAACAGGAUUAGAUACCCUGGUAGUCCACACCGUAAACGAUGAUUACUAGGUGUUGGGAGAUUGACCCUCUCAGUGCCGCAGUUAACACAAUAAGUAAUCCACCUGGGGAGUACGACCGCAAGGUUGAAACUCAAAGGAAUUGACGGGGGCCCGCACAAGCAGUGGAGUAUGUGGUUUAAUUCGACGCAACGCGAAGAACCUUACCAAGUCUUGACAUCCCUUGACGAUGCUGGAAACAGUAUUUCUCUUCGGAGCAAGGAGACAGGUGGUGCAUGGUUGUCGUCAGCUCGUGUCGUGAGAUGUUGGGUUAAGUCCCGCAACGAGCGCAACCCUUAUGGUCAGUUACUACGCAAGAGGACUCUGGCCAGACUGCCGUUGACAAAACGGAGGAAGGUGGGGAUGACGUCAAAUCAUCAUGCCCUUUAUGACUUGGGCUACACACGUACUACAAUGGCGUUAAACAAAGAGAAGCAAGACCGCGAGGUGGAGCAAAACUCAGAAACAACGUCCCAGUUCGGACUGCAGGCUGCAACUCGCCUGCACGAAGUCGGAAUUGCUAGUAAUCGUGGAUCAGCAUGCCACGGUGAAUACGUUCCCGGGCCUUGUACACACGCCCGUCACACCAUGAGAGCCGGGGGGACCCGAAGUCGGUAGUCUAACCGCAAGGAGGACGCCGCCGAAGGUAAAACUGGUGAUUGGGGUGAAGUCGUAACAAGGUA